RNA transcript from Cryptomeria japonica (Japanese cedar), 1837 nucleotides. It is a transcript of the gene named ankyrin repeat domain-containing protein EMB506, chloroplastic, with no coding region annotated. Lineage: Eukaryota; Viridiplantae; Streptophyta; Pinopsida; Cupressales; Cupressaceae. The record is from RefSeq and is a predicted model, not a curated record. The transcript is spliced from 9 exons.
GCAGAACGGCUAAUGGGAGAAGCUAAAGAUAGAGCAGCUGUAAAAUCAAAAUUUGAGGAAGAGUCUAGUACCAUGAAUCGAAUGUAAAAUCAAUUCUAAGUAGAUAGAGGAGAGAAGCACUAAUGAUUUUGUUCACAAAACCCUCCAAUUUCAAUUUCAGUGCUUAUCUCCGCAACCAGUCUACUGAUGUGGAGGCACAGAGCCGCAUUUUUAUAUGCUGUUUUUUAAGACCUCACGCUUUAAAAAAUGGGUAUCGCAAUCAAUACCAUCUCUCUACGACCCAUACGAAGAUUAACACGCCUGCCUUGCAGAAAGACAAAGGCCGGCCUUCAAAGGCAGAGCUCCAUAAUAACUGGGAGGAGCCUGAUUUCUAUGAGGGCCACGAGGCCAAUCAUGAUGUUGAUGAGGAUGCAGGAUAUAUGCAACAGUUAAUAGAAGAAGUGGAGCUAAUGUUGACUCCAGAGGAACGAGCUAUUUUGCAGAAGAAUAAGGUUCCUGAUUUCAAACAACUGGCUUCGCCAAAAUGGAUACCGCUUCAUACACUUGCGACAUCGGGGCAGAUCCUCCUUAUGGAUGAUGUACUUAAAUAUGGCAUCGAUGUGAAUUCCGUUGACAAGUAUGGUUUGACUGCUCUUCAAAAGGUGGUAUUAUGCAAGAAGGAGGCUAUGAUUAGUCAUCUUCUCAAAAGGGGAGCAGAUCUUCAUGUUCGAGAUAAGGAUCAGGUGAACGAGGUCGAAGGCGAGAACACGAAUCAGGAUGGUGCUUCAUUGCUGCACUAUGCCGUUCUGGUUAAUGCGAUUCAGACACUAAAAUUGUUAAUCAAAAACAAUCUUGAUGUAAAUAUUGCAGACAAUGAAGGAUGGACACCUCUGCAUCUUGCCGUGCAAAGUAGGGUGAGAGAUGUAGCCAAGAUUUUGCUGCUCAAUGGAGCUGACAAGACAAUUAAGAAUAAGGGGUUCAAUGAAGACGUUUUUAGUGCAAGUGCCGUGUGGACAGGUUGUGGGGUUUUCUUCAGAUUAUGGAGUGGCGUGAGGAACUCUCUGCCUGGGUGUUUGAAACCAGCAAUAAAUUUGGAGGGCAAUAUAAAUACUCAACUGAGUACCCUUGAGGAUUCUAAGCUGGUGUGAAUGGCAAGGGAAAUUCGAGGGAUUCAAGUCUGAAAUCAUCACCUGCAUGGUAUGUUGCAGUACUCGAUUCUCAUGCCUUAGGAGCCGUUGAAUAGAUAUGGAGCAUUUUGAAAGACAUAUAAGGGGUUAAGUUGAUAUUGCAAGCGGAUUGUAUUACUUUCCUGAAGGUUUAAUUACUGCAGCAGAGGUGUAAGGGACUGAUUUUGUCCUAAGGACUAUCAAGUACUCAUUGCAGGCUUCUCUAAAUUCUCACAGGCGGUUGCAGUAUACUUAGCAUUACUCUGGGAAGCAACACUGAAAUAUCUGCUUUGAUCAUUUAUAUCUGAAUCAUUAAAGGAUGGGAAUACGCCUUUUGAUGUUGCUAUAAGUUUAGGAAAGGGAUUUAAAACCUAUGAAAUAACAAAGUUAUUGAAGAUUGUCCCAGCAACACAUGUAUAAGACAGUAGUUUGUGGAUAUGAUUCUGAGGAUUUACGUUCAGCCAGUUCACAUGUUUUCUGUGUGAAAAUCCCAUCAAAUAAUUCAAGGGGAAUGCAUUUAAAAUAUGGUAGGCUUUAUACUAAAAACAUUUGUAGCAUCAUCAAUUGUUACAUGAUUUUGAUUCUUGUUAUUGUCAUGUGAAUAAAUUUCAUGGAUUUGUAAGAAUAAUACCUCUAUUUUCUAUUGAAUAUUUAUGUAUUGGCUAGUUAUAUUAUAACACAUAUUUUUAACA